UACGUAGGUGGCAAGCGUUGUUCGGAAUUACUGGGCGUAAAGGGCGCGUAGGCGGCCUGCUAAGUCGAACGUGAAAUCCCUGGGCUCAACCCAGGAACUGCGUCCGAUACUGGUUGGCGUGAAUUCGGGAGAGGGAUGUGGAAUUCCAGGUGUAGCGGUGAAAUGCGUAGAUAUCUGGAGGAACACCGGUGGCGAAGGCGGCAUCCUGGACCGAUAUUGACGCUGAUGCGCGAAAGCCAGGGGAGCAAACAGG
Molecule: ribosomal RNA, 253 nt
Filed under: uncultured bacterium
Lineage: Bacteria
Description: partial 16S ribosomal RNA
Rfam family: Bacterial small subunit ribosomal RNA
Source: RNAcentral